Molecule: long non-coding RNA, 449 nt
Organism: Poecilia latipinna (sailfin molly)
Lineage: Eukaryota; Metazoa; Chordata; Actinopteri; Cyprinodontiformes; Poeciliidae
Exons: 2
Source: RefSeq, a predicted model, not a curated record
CGGAAAAGGAAGUACGUCGUCUGCAAGUGAACAAUUUAAAGAUUGAAACAGUCCUUGCACAGCCUCUCCCAUCCGGAGGUCAGCUGAAUAGUCCUUCUCACGUGGUCUGUCUCCUCUUAGGGGUGGGAUGCGGCGCGGUCUGGUGCUUAGAACAUAGAGACACAUCUGUUUGUCGUCAGUAAUGUUACCUGGUCGGAGACCUGAGUUGUGUAUGGAAACCGGCAGCUGCGCACACACAUAGCAGUUCACAGCAUGUCCCUCAUAAGCGGUUCUGUUCAUCAGUUUCCACCACAGAUUGGUACUGUAGUCAUGCGGCAGUCACAGCGCAGUAGAAGAUCCAUCUGGCAUAUGGAGUCCCCAUUGUUGCUCGGCGUACAGAGAUGUCAGAACCCCCAAACUAAAGGAGUGAGAAUCUUAGCGUUUCUUCACCGGGUUUGAGACGAACUACA